This 365-nucleotide ribosomal RNA is filed under the name Nonarthra nigripennis. Its description in RNAcentral is "partial 16S ribosomal RNA". The record is from RNAcentral. Lineage: Eukaryota; Metazoa; Arthropoda; Insecta; Coleoptera; Chrysomelidae. RNAcentral also lists the same sequence under 1 other name.
UUAAAUGGCCGCGGUAUUUUGACCGUGCUAAGGUAGCAUAAUCAUUAGUUUUUUAAUUGAAAACUGGAAUGAAGGGUUGGAUGAAAAAAAAUCUGUCUUUAUUUAAAUAAAUAGAAUUUUAUUUUUAAGUUAAAAAGCUUAAAUUAUAUUAAAAGACGAGAAGACCCUAUAGAGUUUUAUAAUAAAAAUUUAAUUUUUAUAAAGUAUUAAAUUAAUUAUUAAAAUAUUAUUAUUUAAUUGGGGUGAUUAAAAAAUUUAAUUAACUUUUUUUAUAUUUUUAUAUUAAUUUAUAGAUAUUUGAUCCAUUUAUAUGAUUAAAAGAUUAAAUUACCUUAGGGAUAACAGCGUAAUUUUAUUGGAGAGUU